GUUCGUUUCUCCAAACACCUUAGGUACAUUGAUGUAUAACAACAUCGUAAUAACGGAAGUCAUUUAUAGGAAUCACAUAUUCACAUUGAGAGAAAACCAAAUUCGACAGAAGUCUCCUUUUACUCCAUACAUACCAAUUUACACAAUCAAAAUCACAAACACAAAUCUAGUACCAGUUAUUUACUACUACUGAUCUUACACCAUCCACUCUACUCUAGCUAGAAAAUAAAGAUGCAAGAAAAAGCAAAACCACAUCCAAUAUAUUAUGUCGCGAAAUUAUAUCACAUCCGUAAAAUAAUCUGAAGAAUAAAAUAAUCUGAAGGAAUAAGAGAGCAACAAUUAUUGAUAUAUUGGACACCUAUUUCUCAGCCGCCAAAGGUACAAGGAAGAGGAAACAAAGACAGGUAAAUCCAACACACAGCUUAUAAUAGAGUUCGAUUAAAUAGUCAAAAUACACUUCAAAUUGUAAAUUUUUUAACGUACCAAAAACGAUUUCGAACAAAAUGUUGAAGUAUCAAGUUUGAAAUUCAAUACCUGUAUCAGCGAGCAAACUGAAAGCAGCAUCUUUGUCAUGAAAAUUUAUAAACUUCACAAAGAAGAAUAUACCAAUUUAAGUUAGAAUUUUCCUUACAAAAUUACAAAUAAAAGGUAUAAACUUCAAAAAUCUUCUCCACUUUUUGCAUAAUAGAAGUUUUCUCAGUUAAGUAAUUUUCAGAGAAAUACGUUAACACAGCACAUUUCUUAUUGGUUAACUUUUAACAGAACGCUGUAAAGAAACAUACUAUCCUUUUUCUCGUCUAGUAAUCCUUUUCUUUAUCCACGCACCGAUUGAGAAGGUAGUUGCUAUUGUGAAAACAAUUCUAACACCAAAUAAGCAAAUGCGACAAAUUCUAAUUAAAUUGGUGUCCGUUUUCAAUUCAAGAUAUAUGUCCUUAUAUGUAGCAUAAUGUAGAGAAUAGCAUGACAAAAGAAAUUCAAAUGAUUCAACAGAGCAUUGCAACAUUCUUUAAAUGUCGGCCGCAACUGCUCCUUCAGCCUUAGCUUCAACCUCUGUUUCUUCGGGUUCUUCUUGGGAUUCAGCUUCAGCUCUAACAACAAAAGAACGACUUUCCCACUUUGAACAGCACAACCCAGAAGUUGAAAACAAAACAGGGAUACAUUCAACUGAGAAGGUCAUUGGAAAAUGCAGGUAGAAACUGCAAGUUUCUGUGGAAUAUACCUUGUGGGGGGAUGCCUGUAAAUACAAUUAUUAGAUAGUUGUUGGUAUAUAUGUUGUAAAAGAGCAGUCUUGGUUCGAUGAGAAGAAGAAACUUAGGAAGCAAAUUGGUCUUAUGAAUGAAUUGAGAGUUGUUGAGAAGCACAAGGACAACCUUAUAAUUGAAUUGAAUAGCAAGUUGGAGCAGAGUAAAGUAGUUGUUCAGUCAAAAGAUAACAAGGGAAAAUGCGUCAAGAUCUUGAAGAAAGGCUGAAAAAUGCGUCAAAAUCAUGUAAUUA
Molecule: long non-coding RNA, 1494 nt
Filed under: Capsicum annuum
Lineage: Eukaryota; Viridiplantae; Streptophyta; Magnoliopsida; Solanales; Solanaceae
Description: long non-coding RNA (CANN_LNC020740)
Source: RNAcentral